Molecule: small nucleolar RNA, 74 nt
Organism: Solea senegalensis (Senegalese sole)
Lineage: Eukaryota; Metazoa; Chordata; Actinopteri; Pleuronectiformes; Soleidae
Product: small nucleolar RNA SNORD59
Exons: 1
Source: RefSeq, a predicted model, not a curated record
UCUUCCAUGAUUAUUUUCACAGUGACUUUCGUUCUUCUGAGUAUACUGAAGCCAACCUUUCUGUCCUGAGAAGA